Molecule: long non-coding RNA, 768 nt
Filed under: Lupinus angustifolius (narrow-leaved blue lupine)
Lineage: Eukaryota; Viridiplantae; Streptophyta; Magnoliopsida; Fabales; Fabaceae
Description: long non-coding RNA (LANG_LNC003574)
Source: RNAcentral
UGUAUUACUAUCUUCUAGAUAAAAGAUAUGAACCACUAGAAUAUGAGUCAUUUGGACUCAAGUCCCUUAUGUGAAUACCAUGCACAUUCCUAUACUCAUGUAGUGCAUAACAUAGCAUUCAUUUGGCAAUUGUCAUCCCUACAAAAAAACGUAAUUUCUAUAAGUGUGAGUGUGAGAGAUAAGAACUAACUGGAAAAUAAAACACUACCACAGGUGCUCCUGUUGGUGUUAAUUUGUUCUUUGGUUUCUUCAAAGAGGAUGCUAUGGAUCCACAGCUUUCUUCAUAACUAGAGACACGUGAGGAUGAUGGUGAAGAGGGAAGGAAACAAUUCAAGGUCGAAAACCCAGACAUAUAUAGUUUUGACUCUUGGUUUUGUUUCUUGAGUGGGUCUAAGAUGACAUAGUUGCUGUUCCUCUCUCGCAAGCAAGAGUAAGAACUAAUGACCACAGGCUUAAAGAGCAAUGAUUGAGGGCCAAGCUUAGCAGAGCUGGAUUAUAAAUGGAAAGAUGAGGUAAUGGUUGUAUAUUGAAUCAAUGUUUAGCUAAGUUGGUUCAUUUAUAGCUAGCAAUCAUAUUAGAUUAAUCCAUUUAUUCUGCAGAAGUCGCUAAGUUGGUGUGAAAUGCAGGAGUUGCAAGGAAACUGUGGGACAGCCACUUGACACUUUGACAAGUCACAUGGUUUUUGUGACUGCUAAUUAAUUUGACCAUAUUGUUUUCAUAAAACCUUGUUGGAUGUCCAUAUCCAUAUGCCUUAUUCGUUGUCCCCAA